RNAcentral lists this ribosomal RNA (464 nucleotides) under uncultured bacterium. RNAcentral describes it as "partial 16S ribosomal RNA". It matches the Rfam family "Bacterial small subunit ribosomal RNA", at positions 28 to 506 of the family's 1533-position model. The record is from RNAcentral.
GAUGAACGCUGGCGGCGUGCUUAACACAUGCCAGUCGAACGGAAAGGCUCCUGCUUGCAGGGGUACUCGAGUGGCGAACGGGUGAGUAACACGUGGGUGAUCUGCCCUGCACUUCGGGAUAAGCCUGGGAAACUGGGUCUAAUACCGGAUAGGACGAUGGUUUGGAUGCCAUUGUGGAAAGUUUUUCGGUGUGGGAUGAGCUCGCGGCCUAUCAGCUUGUUGGUGGGGUAAUGGCCUACCAAGGCGUCGACGGGUAGCCGGCCUGAGAGGGUGUACGGCCACAUUGGGACUGAGAUACGGCCCAGACUCCUACGGGAGGCAGCAGUGGGGAAUAUUGCACAAUGGGCGCAAGCCUGAUGCAGCGACGCCGCGUGGGGGAUGACGGCCUUCGGGUUGUAAACUCCUUUCGCUAGGGACGAAGCGCAAGUGACGGUACCUGGAGAAGAAGCACCGGCUAACUACGU